This 466-nucleotide ribosomal RNA is filed under the name bacterium BCM52. RNAcentral's name for it is "bacterial SSU rRNA". It matches the Rfam family "Bacterial small subunit ribosomal RNA", at positions 59 to 514 of the family's 1533-position model. The record is from RNAcentral.
CAGUCGAGCGGUAACAGAAAGUAGCUUGCUACUUUGCUGACGAGCGGCGGACGGGUGAGUAAUGCCUGGGAAUUUGCCCAUUCGAGGGGGAUAACAGUUGGAAACGACUGCUAAUACCGCAUACGCCCUACGGGGGAAAGGAGGGGACCUUCGGGCCUUCCGCGAAUGGAUAAGCCCAGGUGGGAUUAGCUAGUAGGUGAGGUAAUGGCUCACCUAGGCGACGAUCCCUAGCUGUUCUGAGAGGAUGAUCAGCCACACUGGGACUGAGACACGGCCCAGACUCCUACGGGAGGCAGCAGUGGGGAAUAUUGCACAAUGGGCGAAAGCCUGAUGCAGCCAUGCCGCGUGUGUGAAGAAGGCCUUCGGGUUGUAAAGCACUUUCAGCGAGGAGGAAAGGUUACUGGCUAAUAUCCAGUAGCUGUGACGUUACUCGCAGAAGAAGCACCGGCUAACUCCGUGCCAGCAG